AAGAGACAGCAGCAGCCGCGGGAAUACGAAGGGGGCUAGCGUUGUUCGGAAUUACUGGGCGUAAAGCGCACGUAGGCGGACUUUUAAGUCAGGGGUGAAAUCCCGGGGCUCAACCUCGGAACUGCCUUUGAUACUGGAAGUCUUGAGUGUGGAAGAGGUAAGUGGAAUUGCGAGUGUAGAGGUGAAAUUCGUAGAUAUUCGCAAGAACACCAGUGGCGAAGGCGGCUCACUGGUCCGGAACUGACGCUGAGGCACGACAGCGUGGGGAGCAAACAGGAUUAGAUACCCCCGUAGUCCCUGUCUCUUAUAC
This 310-nucleotide ribosomal RNA is filed under the name uncultured bacterium. Its description in RNAcentral is "partial 16S ribosomal RNA". It matches the Rfam family "Bacterial small subunit ribosomal RNA", at positions 503 to 807 of the family's 1533-position model. The record is from RNAcentral.